CCUACGGGUUGCAGCAGUGGGGAAUAUUGGACAAUGGGCGAAAGCCUGAUCCAGCGACGCCGCGUGUCGGAAGGAGUCCUUCGGGAUGUAAACGACUUUUGGUGGAGACGAAUAAGCAGCUCAGGGAAUGGGGCUGUGAUGACGGUAUCCAUGGAAUAAGCCCCGGCUAACUACGUGCCAGCAGCCGCGGUAAGACGUAGGGGGCAAGCGUUACCCGGAAUUACUGGGCGUAAAGGGAGCGUAGGCGGGAGGUCAAGUCCGGUGUGAAAGACCCUGGCUCAACCAGGGAUGAGGGCUGGAAACUGACAAUCUUGAGUACAGCAGAGGAAGAGGGAAUUACCGGUGUAGGGGUGAAAUCCGUAGAGACCGGUAAGAAGGCCAGUGGCGAAGGCGCUUUUCUGGGCUGUUACUGACGCUGAGGCUCGAAAGCCAGGGGAGCAAACCGGAUUAGAUACCCUUGUAGUC
This 465-nucleotide ribosomal RNA is filed under the name uncultured bacterium. RNAcentral describes it as "bacterial SSU rRNA". It matches the Rfam family "Bacterial small subunit ribosomal RNA", at positions 338 to 795 of the family's 1533-position model. The record is from RNAcentral.